RNAcentral lists this ribosomal RNA (200 nucleotides) under uncultured eukaryote. RNAcentral's name for it is "partial 18S ribosomal RNA". It matches the Rfam family "Eukaryotic small subunit ribosomal RNA", at positions 588 to 801 of the family's 1831-position model. The record is from RNAcentral.
GCUCCAAUAGCGUAUAUUAAAGUUGUUGCAGUUAAAAAGUUCGUAGUCAACCUGUUCUGCCUGGUGGUUUGGCGUCUAUGGCGCCUGGAUCACCGAUGGUAGAGAGCAUGUUCGCACCACUUGCGCGUUCUGUGUGGAGAUGUGUGCUACACUUUACUUUGAGUUAAUCGGCGUGCUUCACGCGGCUAAUGCCUUGAACG